This 442-nucleotide ribosomal RNA is filed under the name uncultured bacterium. Its description in RNAcentral is "partial 16S ribosomal RNA". It matches the Rfam family "Bacterial small subunit ribosomal RNA", at positions 338 to 795 of the family's 1533-position model. The record is from RNAcentral.
CCUACGGGUGGCAGCAGUAGGGAAUCUUUCACAAUGGGCGAAAGCCUGAUGGAGCAACGUCGCGUGCAGGAUGAAGGCCUUCGGGUUGUAAACUGCUUUUAUAAGCGAGAAAUAUGAUGGUAACUUAUGAAUAAGGAUCGGCUAACUACGUGCCAGCAGCCGCGGUCAUACGUAGGAUCCGAGCAUUAUCCGGAGUGUCUGGGGGUAAAGAGUUGCGUUUGUGGCGUAAUAGGUAGCUAGUGAAAUCUGGUGGCUCAACCAUUCAGACUAUUGGCGAUACUGUGAAGCUCGAGACCGUUAGAGGUAACUGGAAUGUGUAGUGUAGGGGUGAAAUGCGUAGAUAUUAGAAGGAACACCGAUAGCGUAGGCAGGUUGCUGGGACGGUACUGACACUAAGGCACGAAAGCGUAGGGAGCAAACGGGAUUAGAUACCCCAGUAGUC